This 237-nucleotide ribosomal RNA is filed under the name uncultured Desulfocapsa sp. Its description in RNAcentral is "partial 16S ribosomal RNA". It matches the Rfam family "Bacterial small subunit ribosomal RNA", at positions 1145 to 1382 of the family's 1533-position model. The record is from RNAcentral. Lineage: Bacteria; Pseudomonadati; Thermodesulfobacteriota; Desulfobulbia; Desulfobulbales; Desulfocapsaceae.
GAGACUGCCGGUGCAAACCGGAGGAAGGUGGGGAUGACGUCAAGUCCUCAUGGCCUUUAUGACCAGGGCUACACACGUACUACAAUGGCCGGUACAAAGGGCAGCGACACAGCGAUGUGAAGCGAAUCCCGAAAAGCCGGUCUCAGUCCGGAUUGGAGUCUGCAACUCGACUCCAUGAAGUUGGAAUCGCUAGUAAUCGCGGAUCAGCACGCCGCGGUGAAUACGUUCCCGGGCCUU